RNAcentral lists this ribosomal RNA (524 nucleotides) under uncultured bacterium. Its description in RNAcentral is "partial 16S ribosomal RNA". It matches the Rfam family "Bacterial small subunit ribosomal RNA", at positions 28 to 523 of the family's 1533-position model. The record is from RNAcentral.
GACGAACGCUGGCGGCGUGCCUAAUACGUGCAAGUCGAGCGCAGGAAGCUGACGGAACUCUUCGGAGGGAAGGCAGUGGAAUGAGCGGCGGACGGGUGAGUAACACGUCAGGAACCUGCCUCACGGGUUGGGAUAACUCCGAGAAAUCGGAGCUAAUACCGGAUAGUUCAUCGGACCGUAUGGUCUGUUGAUGAAAGGCGCUUCGGCGUCACCUUGAGCUGGCCUUGCGGUGCAUUAGCUAGUUGGUGGGGUAACGGCCCACGAAGGCGACGAUGCAUAGCCGACCUGAGAGGGUGAUCGGCCAGACUGGGACUGAGACACGGCCCAGACUCCUACGGGAGGCGGCGGGAGGGAAUGUUCCAGAAUGGACGAAAGUCUGAUGGAGCAACGCCGCGUGAGUGAUGAAGGUUUUCGGAUCGUAAAACUCUGUUGUAAGGGAAGAACACAUACGAGAGGAAAUGCUCGUUCCUUGACGGUACCUUACGAGAAAGCCACGGCUAACUACGUGCCAGCAGCCGCAGUAA